Molecule: ribosomal RNA, 494 nt
Filed under: uncultured bacterium
Lineage: Bacteria
Description: bacterial SSU rRNA
Rfam family: Bacterial small subunit ribosomal RNA
Source: RNAcentral
CGCUGGCGGCGUGCCUAAUACAUGCAAGUCGAGCGGAAUGAUGAAGAAGCUUGCUUCUUCUGAUUUUAGCGGCGGACGGGUGGGUAACACGUGGGCAACCUACCUUGUAGAUUGGGAUAACUCCGGGAAACCGGGGCUAAUACCGAAUAAUCCAUUUUGCUUCAUGGCGAGAUGUUGAAAGACGGUUUCGGCUGUCACUACAAGAUGGGCCCGCGGCGCAUUAGCUAGUUGGUAGGGUAAUGGCCUACCAAGGCGACGAUGCGUAGCCGACCUGAGAGGGUGAUCGGCCACACUGGGACUGAGACACGGCCCAGACUCCUACGGGAGGCAGCAGUAGGGAAUCUCCCACAAUGGACGAAAGUCUGAUGGAGCAACGCCGCGUGAGUGAAGAAGGUUUUCGGAUCGUAAAACUCUGUUGUAAGGGAAGAACACGUACGAGAGUAACUGCUCGUACCUUGACGGUACCUUAUUAGAAAGCCACGGCUAACUACGUG